CUCAACAGCUCUAGUGUGGGGAAGACUCCUCUGAAAGAGCUGGACGUGCAGAUCAGGAAGCACCUUCCACAGGUCCAAGGAGGAGUGCUGGGGAGCCUGGAGAUAUAGCAGGCUGGUGGGCAGACCGAGGGGAGGGGCCUAAAGUUAACUGGGCCGGGGGAGGCAACAAUGAGAGGGCACAGAAAUAACAGUCGGUGGGGCAGAAGGUCAGAGAGGGCGGUGGACCCUGAAACAGGGCCUGGAGAGCUGUUGGCAGUAACCCUCACUUUAGUGAACUUCUUGGGACACUAGAAAGAAAGGCUCAGAAACAACCUGGUUACAUGGAGAACCCCUGUGGGGAGUUUGCGGACCACUGGAGAGGAGGAUUCUGGGGAAAGACAGGCAUGCUUGUAAUUCAAGGUGAUUAUUCAAGAGCGGACUCUGAGCGUCUAGAUCUGGAGCCAACUGAACUUGAUUAAUCUGUGAGUUCUUCUUGGCAUUGAGCUUGAGCAUGAACAUAUGGAAUUACAGCCUGACUACCCACCACCCGCAACCUCAAUCCUCUGGAGAAACUUUGAGAGCUUGAGCCUUUGUGAAAUUGCAUCUUUGGAACACACAACCAUAUCUGACUCUUACAGGGUGACAAAUGGAAAAGAACUUUCCAGACAAGCUCAGGACAGUCAGAGUCACUGCAAUGCCCUGUGGCAUAUGCAACAUCCAUGCCUUCUUUCAACAAUUUCCCUCGUGAUUGGGGCUUCGGCAUCAUGUACUCACUGGCCUCAGGUGGCCUUGGCUUCUUCAGGGUGUGGAACAUAUGACUGAGGUCUGAGCAAUCAGGAUAUUUCAGUUCCCAGUCAGGGACUGAAUAUGACACAAACAGGGCAAAUAAAAUAAAAUCCUAUUGAGCUUAAAGCCUAGAAGAUACACAAUCUAGGUCUUCUGUAGAAAUCUCAAGAUCAAGAAGACAGACUCUCUGAAAAUAAGGCCAAAACACAGAAUAGGCCAUGGCUAAUUGACCAUGUGCUAAGGAGAAGCUGGGUCCUGGUAACACAGGUUGGUAUUUGCAGCAAACUACCCUUGAACCCAAUACUACCCCUGGACUUUUCUGUUAUCUUAGCUGGUAAAUUACAUUUUUCCAAAGGCCUAAUUGGGUUGGAUUUUUGGUCUUUUAGAACCAAAUGAAUUCUAACUAUAUGUUCCAUGUAAGCAUGGAUCUUGCUUCAUGGGCUAUGGAAGAAAAUGGGGAGGGGGGAGCCUCCCAGGGCAUCCAGGUUGGCUAAUCAAGGAUGAAAGUCCAAUGCCAGGCAGUAAUUCAGUUUUGUUAUUCUUGUUGAGCAGGACAUGACAUGUGCUCUGGAUCAGUGAGUACUGUAAAUUAUUCUCGUUCUUGCCUUUCCCAAAUGGUGGCUUUAUGGCCAUUCUCUUAUUCUGUCUCCACCAUGGUACACUGAAUGAAUUAGGGGUUGCCACAUUUAUUAUGAGGCAUGACAUUUUGCCUUGACUGACAAAAUUGAAUAUCGUCCAGAGAUCUUAGGCUUGAUACUGGAUUAGAUGUGGAUGAUCUUUUUUUGACAAAUAGUUUAUUUUAAGUAGGUGCAGAGACUUGCAAGGGGUGGUAGGAAGGAUGUAUGUGUAUGUGUGUUCUGGGCAGCCAAAAGAGGGGAUGUAAUGGAUUCCAGUUGUAUUUUGCCACCCAGUCAAUAUUUACUCUUAUUCUGAUAACUCUACGUGAUUUCCCCCGGGGAGGUCACCUCAUCCUGAUUCCCUCGAUAAUACAUUCAUAUCUAGAUGUGGAACAUCCAAUUUGGUAUCUACACGUGACCCAAACAAAGCCAAAGAUACCCCGUGGGGCUUUUUCUAAACACUCUGGGAUAUUCUUGCUCUUUCUAGCUGGAAUUGAAGCUUAAAGAAGAGAAUAUCUGAAAUGACUAUAGCCAUCUUAUGACCACAGAGAGAGAACUUACUUGAGUAUAAAGCCCACCGUAAGGAGGACAGCAGAUCUAUCUGAGCCAAAAGAUGGCGAUGUGAUAUUUUAAAUCCAUGCCUUAUGGUACCCGAAGUCAAUUCCGUCCUUAGACUUUUCAGGUAAGUGAGGCCACCCUUUCCAAUUUAUCAAAAUAUACUUUCUGCUGGGUUUUCUGCCAUUUUCAACUGGAAGAGUCCCAACCGAUAUCCUGGACAAGUACCCACACUCCUGGAGAUGAUGUCCUGAAAGGAGAGCUUGCUCACUUGAGAGCAGGUAGUUUAUUUGGAAGAUAAUCCCUGGAAGUAGAAAUGAGGGAGUGGGGAGAGUGAGACAGGAAGGAUCAACCCUUCUGGGGAUGCUCUGUGUACAGCUCAGUGUUGAAUGCAACUCAAAAUUGUCCCACCAGGAGAGAGGGAGCCUCUGACAUUUAUACACUGGCCCCUGUCCCUGUUAUUUGAGGGUUGCUUUCAAAGGUCUUAACUCCAGUGUAUUUACGGAUUGCAAAUAACUGAAGCAAAGCUGAUUGCGAUAGUUUUGGGGAAAGCUCUGAGCCAGCAAAGCAGAAGGACCCCGAGAAAUGCACUUGAUGUGAGUCACUGGCAGCAUGCACACGUCACAGUUGUACUGAAACUAGACAAACCAAAAAGAAGGAACAUGGUGUGCCACAGGCAUCAACUAUAGAAUCCACUUCUGAUUUGUCCCUUUCAAAUUUCUCCAAUAACGGACUUUAAAAUUUGUUUUUCUAAGAAUUGAAAGACCUACUUACCCUGAUCUUGAGCUUGACUGUUCCAGUGGAACGCUUCCAAAUCUUCAAACUGGUAUCUCCAAUACCAUGUUAGUGGAGCAGGCCUUCAUAAGGGGACUCCCGAAAAUUUACCGCUCCCAGGCCUACUCCUUAAAGAUGCUGGUUUGAUUAAGGUAAAUUUAUCAGUGGGAUAUGAGACAUUUAUAAAAAUAAAAAAUCUCCUAGCAGUGAUGACCCAAAUUUGGAUGAGUCCAGGGCUCAAUGGCCAUGGACUCUGACUAUCUAUAUCUGAAGAAGCUGAGACAAGCCAAGACAGCCAAAGGUCCCAUGAGAC
Molecule: long non-coding RNA, 3024 nt
Organism: Macaca mulatta (Rhesus monkey)
Lineage: Eukaryota; Metazoa; Chordata; Mammalia; Primates; Cercopithecidae
Source: Ensembl